GUGGGGAAUAUUCCGCAAUGGACGAAAGUCUGACGGACCAACGCCGCGUGAGUGAUGAAGGUUUUCGGACUGUAAAGCUCUGUUGUUUAGGACGAAAGUGCCUGUUGCGAACAGUUACAGGUAUUGACGGUACUAAACGAGGAAGCCACGGCUAACUACGUGCCAGCAGCCGCGGUAAUACGUAGGUGGCAAGCGUUGUCCGGAAUUAUUGGGCGUAAAGAGCAUGUAGGCGGAGAUUUAAGUCUGUUGUGAAAAUGCGGGGCUCAACCCCGUAUUGCGAUGGAAACUGAAUUUCUUGAGUGCAGGAGAGGAAAGGGGAAUUCCCAGUGUAGCGGUGAAAUGCGUAGAUAUUGGGAGGAACACCAGUGGCGAAGGCGCCUUUCUGGACUGUGUCUGACGCUGAGAUGCGAAAGCCAGGGUAGCGAACGGGAUUAGAAACCCUUGUAGUCC
This 450-nucleotide ribosomal RNA is filed under the name uncultured bacterium. Its description in RNAcentral is "partial 16S ribosomal RNA". It matches the Rfam family "Bacterial small subunit ribosomal RNA", at positions 354 to 796 of the family's 1533-position model. The record is from RNAcentral.